CCUGCCGUUGCCGGCGACCGGCGCACGGGUGAGUAACACGUAUGCAACCUGCCCGUGGCAGGGGGAUAAGCGGGGGAAACCCCGUCUAAUACCGCGUAACGCGGCCUUGGGGCAUCCCAAGGCCGCCAAAGGGAGCAAUCCCGGCCACGGAUGGGCAUGCGGCGCAUUAGCUAGUCGGCGGGGUAACGGCCCACCGAGGCGACGAUGCGUAGGGGUUCUGAGAGGAAGGCCCCCCACACUGGUACUGAGACACGGACCAGACUCCUACGGGAGGCAGCAG
RNAcentral lists this ribosomal RNA (280 nucleotides) under uncultured bacterium. Its description in RNAcentral is "partial 16S ribosomal RNA". It matches the Rfam family "Bacterial small subunit ribosomal RNA", at positions 74 to 354 of the family's 1533-position model. The record is from RNAcentral.